This 752-nucleotide ribosomal RNA is filed under the name uncultured bacterium. Its description in RNAcentral is "bacterial SSU rRNA". It matches the Rfam family "Bacterial small subunit ribosomal RNA", at positions 8 to 796 of the family's 1533-position model. The record is from RNAcentral.
AGAGUUUGAUCCUGGCUCAGAACGAACGCUGGCGGCAUGCCUAACACAUGCAAGUCGAACGUGAUCCGGGCUUCGGCCUGGUGAAAGUGGCAGACGGGUGAGUAACGCGUGGGAACCUGCCCUGUGGUAGGGAAUAACCGUGGGAAACUGCGGCUAAUACCCUAUGAGUCCUUCGGGAGAAAGAUUUAUCGCCAUAGGAGGGGCCCGCGUCGGAUUAGGUAGUUGGUGGGGUAACGGCCUACCAAGCCUUCGAUCCGUAGCUGGUCUGAGAGGAUGAUCAGCCUCACUGGGACUGAGAUGCGGCCCAGACUCCUACGGGAGGCAGCAGUGGGGAAUAUUGGACAAUGGGGGCAACCCUGAUCCAGCAAUGCCGCGUGGAUGAUGAAGGCCUUCGGGUUGUAAAGUCCUUUCGGCGGGGAAGAUGAUGACGGUACCCGCAGAAGAAGCCCCGGCUAACUUCGUGCCGGCAGCCGCGGUAAUACGAAGGGGGCUAGCGUUGUUCGGAAUUACUGGGCGUAAAGGGCGCGUAGGCUGUGCUGUAAGUCAGGCGUGAAAGCCCCGGGCUCAACCUGGGAAUUGCGUUUGAUACUGCGGCGCUGGAAGGUGGGAGAGGAUGGCGGAAUUCCCAGUGUAGAGGUGAAAUUCGUAGAUAUUGGGAAGAACACCGGUGGCGAAGGCGGCCAUCUGGCCCACAUUUGACGCUGAGGCGCGAAAGCGUGGGGAGCAAACAGGAUUAGAUACCCUGGUAGUCC